UGUGACGAGUUUGAUCAUGGCUCAGAACGAACGCUGGCGGCAUGCCUAACACAUGCAAGUCGAACGAGACCUUCGGGUCUAGUGGCGCACGGGUGCGUAACGCGUGGGAAUCUGCCCUUCGGUUCGGAAUAACUCAGGGAAACUUGAGCUAAUACCGGAUAAUGACGUAAGUCCAAAGAUUUAUCGCCGAAGGAUGAGCCCGCGUAGGAUUAGCUUGUUGGUGGGGUAAUGGCCCACCAAGGCGACGAUCCUUAGCUGGUCUGAGAGGAUGAUCAGCCACACUGGGACUGAGACACGGCCCAGACUCCUACGGGAGGCAGCAGUGGGGAAUAUUGGACAAUGGGCGAAAGCCUGAUCCAGCAAUGCCGCGUGAGUGAUGAAGGCCUUAGGGUUGUAAAGCUCUUUUACCCGGGAUGGUAAUGACAGUACUGGGAGAAUAAGCUCCGGCUAACUCCGUG
This 458-nucleotide ribosomal RNA is filed under the name uncultured bacterium. RNAcentral's name for it is "bacterial SSU rRNA". It matches the Rfam family "Bacterial small subunit ribosomal RNA", at positions 1 to 507 of the family's 1533-position model. The record is from RNAcentral.